GGGGGGUCGCCUGUUUAACAAAAACAUCUCUUCUUGUUGUUUAUUUGAAGUACGGCCUGCCCGCUGAUUUUUAUUGAAGGGCCGCGGUAUUUUGACCGUGCAAAGGUAGCAUAAUCAUUAGUUCUUUAAUUGUGAACUGGUAUGAAUGGUUUGACGAGGUAUUAGCUGUCUUUGGUUUGAGUUUAUUGAAUUUAUUGUCUUGGUAAAAAUGCCUAGAUUUUUUUAUGGGACGAGAAGACCCUAUAGAGUUUGUACAUAGUUUGUUUUCCUUGGUUUGUUGUUGUGGUUUGGCACUUUGUGUUUUGUUGGGGCGAUGGGAAGGUAAGUUUAACCCUUCUUUUUUGUUUUCACUUGUUUGUGUUUUUAUGAUCCUUUAUUAUUGAUUGUAAGAUCAAAUUACCUUAGGGAUAACAGCAUAAUCUUUUUUGAGAGUUCUUAUUGACAAAUUGGUUUGUGACCUCGAUGUUGGAUUAGGGUGAAUUUUUGGUGUAGAGGCUUUAAAUAUUUUGAUCU
RNAcentral lists this ribosomal RNA (513 nucleotides) under Cryptotermes colombianus. RNAcentral describes it as "partial 16S ribosomal RNA". It matches the Rfam family "Bacterial large subunit ribosomal RNA", at positions 1790 to 2579 of the family's 2925-position model. Lineage: Eukaryota; Metazoa; Arthropoda; Insecta; Blattodea; Kalotermitidae. The record is from RNAcentral.